RNAcentral lists this ribosomal RNA (440 nucleotides) under uncultured bacterium. Its description in RNAcentral is "partial 16S ribosomal RNA". It matches the Rfam family "Bacterial small subunit ribosomal RNA", at positions 338 to 795 of the family's 1533-position model. The record is from RNAcentral.
CCUACGGGUGGCAGCAGUGGGGAAUAUUGCACAAUGGGGGAAACCCUGAUCCAGCAACGCCGCGUGAGUGAUGAAGUAUUUCGGUUUGUAAAGCUCUUUCAUCAGGGAAGAAGAUGAUGGUGCCUCAUUAAGAAUCCGCGGCGAACUACUUGGCAGCAGCCGCGGAAAUACGUAGUGGGCGACCGUUGUUCGGAGGUACGGUGUGUAAAGGUGGCGUAGACGGUUGGUCAACUCUGAAGUGAAAUCCCAUGGCGAAACCAUGGAACGACUUUUGAAACUGUGGAGCUGGAGUGCAGGAGGGGCAACCGGAAUUCCUAGUGUAGCGGUGAAAUGCGUAGAUAUUAGGAGGAACACCAGUGGCGAAGGCGGGUUACUGGACUGUAACUGACACUGAGGCACGAAAGCGUGGGGAGCAAACAGGAUUAGAUACCCGGGUAGUC